Phrynosoma platyrhinos (Desert horned lizard) is the source of this 75-nucleotide non-coding RNA. Lineage: Eukaryota; Metazoa; Chordata; Lepidosauria; Squamata; Phrynosomatidae. The record is from the annotation of a GenBank genome assembly.
UGAUUUAUAGCAUAGUGAUUUUUGAGUGAUGGACUAUAACUCUGGAGACCAGGGUUCAAUUCCCAGCUGGGUCAA